Molecule: ribosomal RNA, 445 nt
Filed under: uncultured bacterium
Lineage: Bacteria
Description: bacterial SSU rRNA
Rfam family: Bacterial small subunit ribosomal RNA
Source: RNAcentral
GUGAGGAAUAUUGGUCAAUGGGCGAGAGCCUGAACCAGCCAAGUAGCGUGAAGGAUGACUGCCCUACGGGUUGUAAACUUCUUUUAUAAGGGAAUAAAGUUCUCUACGUGUAGAGUUUUGUAUGUACCUUAUGAAUAAGCAUCGGCUAACUCCGUGCCAGCAGCCGCGGUAAUACGGAGGAUGCGAGCGUUAUCCGGAUUUAUUGGGUUUAAAGGGAGCGUAGACGGCGGUUUAAGUCAGCUGUGAAAUGGUGCGGCUCAACCGUAGCACUGCAGUUGAAACUGGACGGCUUGAGUGCAGUUGAGGCAGGCGGAAUUCGUGGUGUAGCGGUGAAAUGCUUAGAUAUCACGAAGAACCCCGAUUGCGAAGGCAGCCUGCUAAGCUGCAACUGACGUUGAGGCUCGAAAGUGUGGGUAUCAAACAGGAUUAGAUACCCUAGUAGUCC